AAAACCUCUCAGCUUCUGGACCUGGAGGCCAAAAAUUGAUGCUGUCCUGGUACUUCUGCCCCCAACACCAUGGAGACCACAGCAGCCUGGGAUGACUGUCUAGACUGAAAAAAAUCAUGUAAACUUCAGAGAAUUGAAGGAGUCAUAAGACUUGGAUCUACUUCUCACAGGUUAAAAGGACUCCAGAUAAGUACAGCAUAAGUUUCCCUACCUGUCUAUCCCUGAGGAUGGGAUCUCUCUCUCUCUCUCUCUCUCUCUCUCUCUCUCUCUCUCUCUCUCUCUCUCUCUCUCUCCUGGUCUUGGGACUCCUCCCCUCCCCAAUUGCUAGGACUAUGAGCCUGAAAGUUCCAAACGUAAGAUUUUACUUUAAGUUCCUAAAUUUUAACUUUUGUCCCUAGUCUAUAUCUGUCUCAGCAGAUUUCCCCUUGGCUGACAGACACAUCCAAACAUCAGCUGCUGACUACAACAUCCUCCAAACAACUGAGAGCACCAGACUUCCUGAGAGCUGAUGUGGACCAAUCCAGCCAAUGUGGCACCACUCCAAGGGCUGGGGUCCUAGAAUGAAGAACAUGGAGAAAAAAACUGAACACUGGCACUCUGUUUCCUGACUGCACAUGCAGUAUGACCAGAUACCUCAAGCUCCUGCAGCCAAGACCUUCCUUGUUAUGAUGGAACUGUAUCUCCUGAAAUAAACACUUCCUGGCUUAUGUUGA
Molecule: long non-coding RNA, 713 nt
Organism: Peromyscus leucopus (white-footed mouse)
Lineage: Eukaryota; Metazoa; Chordata; Mammalia; Rodentia; Cricetidae
Exons: 3
Source: RefSeq, a predicted model, not a curated record